AGUUCGAUUAUGGCUCAGGAUGAACGCUGGCGGCAUGCCUAAUACAUGCAAGUCGAACGGAGUGAAGCCUUCGGGUUUCAUUCAGCGGCGAACGGGUGAGUAAUACGCAGGGAACCUGGCCAUGGCAGGGGGAUACACUCUGGAAACGGAGCAUAAGACCCCAUAGGCAGUAAGGCGGCAUCGCCUUACUGUUAAAGAAAGCUGAAAGGCUUUGGCGAUGGAUGGACCUGCGGUGCAUUAGCUUGUUGGUGAGGCAACGGCUUACCAAGGCGAUGAUGCAUAGCCGGCCUGAGAGGGCGGACGGCCACACUGGGACUGAGACACGGCCCGGACUCCUGCGGGAGGCAGCAGUAGGGAAUUUUCGUCAAUGGGCGCAAGCCUGAACGAGCAAUGCCGCGUGAGUGAGGAAGGUCUUCGGACUGUAAAGCUCUGUUGCCGGGGAAAAAGGGGAAAUGCAGGAAAUGGCAUUUCAUGGAUGGUACCCGGCCAGAAAGCCACGGCUAACUACGUGCCAGCAGCCGCGGUAAUACGUAGGUGGCGAGCGUUAUCCGGAAUGAUUGGGCGUAAAGGGUGCGCAGGCGGUCUGUUAAGUCUGAAGGCAAAGGGAUGAGCUCAACUCAUUUAUGAUUCAGAAACUGGCAGACUUGAGGACAGGAGAGGGCGGUGGAACUCCAUGUGUAGCGGUAAAAUGCGCAGAGAUAUGGAAGAACACCAGUGGCGAAGGCGGCCGCCUGGCCUGUGACUGACGCUGAGGCACGAAAGCGUGGGGAGCAAAUAGGAUUAGAUACCCUAGUAGUCCACGCCGUAAACGAUGAGGAGCAGGUGUUGGGAGUGAAAUCUCAGUGCCGAAGCCAACGCAGUGACUCCUCCGCCUGGGGAGUAUGCACGCAAGUGUGAAACUCAAAGGAAUUGACGGGGGCCCGCACAAGCGGUGGAGUAUGUGGUUUAAUUCGAAGCAACGCGAAGAACCUUACCAGGUUUUGACAUCGGAUGCGAAGGCGCAGAGAUGCGCUGGAGGCUAUCAUCCAGACAGGUGGUGCAUGGUAGUCGUCAGCUCGUGUCGUGAGAUGUUCAGUUAAGUCUGGCAACGAGCGCAACCCCCGUGGUAUGUUACUAACGCAUUUGGGCGAGGACUCAUAUCAGACUGCCGGUGACAAACCGGAGGAAGGCGGGGAUGACGUCAAAUCAUCAUGCCCCUUAUGACCUGGGCUACACACGUACUACAAUGGCGUCUACAGAGGGAAGCGACCCUGAGAAGGGAAGCGAAACCGGAAAAGGGCGUCCCAGUUCGGAUUGAAGUCUGCAACCCGACUUCAUGAAGAUGGAAUCGCUAGUAAUCGCGGAUCAGCAUGCCGCGGUGAAUACGUUCCCGGGCCUUGUACACACCGCCCGUCAAACCAUGGAAGCCGGCAACGCCCGAAGCCGGUGGCAUAACCUUUUAGGAGUGAGCCGUCGAAGGCGGGGCCGAUGACUGGGGUUAAGUCGUAACAAGGUACCC
Molecule: ribosomal RNA, 1498 nt
Filed under: uncultured bacterium
Lineage: Bacteria
Description: 16S ribosomal RNA
Rfam family: Bacterial small subunit ribosomal RNA
Source: RNAcentral